RNAcentral lists this long non-coding RNA (217 nucleotides) under Nicotiana benthamiana. Its description in RNAcentral is "long non-coding RNA (NBEN_LNC023809)". Lineage: Eukaryota; Viridiplantae; Streptophyta; Magnoliopsida; Solanales; Solanaceae. The record is from RNAcentral.
GAUAAUCCAAUUGGAGACAAGGAACAGGAACUCGGCCAGCAACAUCAAACACUGAUGCAAACUCUAUAGCUCUACAACUACUACAACUACAACUACCCAGUAUACUCCCACCAAGUGGGGUCUGGGGAAGGUAAUAUGUAGACUGCCUUACCCCUACCCAAAAGGGCAGAGAGGCUGCUUCCAAGCGACCCUCGGCGCAUAGGACAGAAUGAAGAGC